UACGUAGGUGGCAAGCGUUAUCCGGAUUUAUUGGGCGUAAAGGGGACGCAGGCAGUCUUUUAAGUCUGAUGUGAAAGCCUUCGGCUUAACCGGAGUAGUGCAUUGGAAACUGGGAGACUUGAGUGCAGAAGAGGAGAGUGGAACUCCAUGUGUAGCGGUGAAAUGCGUAGAUAUAUGGAAGAACACCAGUGGCGAAAGCGGCUCUCUGGUCUGUAACUGACGCUGAGGUUCGAAAGCGUGGGUAGCAAACAGG
RNAcentral lists this ribosomal RNA (253 nucleotides) under uncultured bacterium. RNAcentral's name for it is "partial 16S ribosomal RNA". It matches the Rfam family "Bacterial small subunit ribosomal RNA", at positions 524 to 776 of the family's 1533-position model. The record is from RNAcentral.